Molecule: non-coding RNA, 435 nt
Filed under: Pan troglodytes (chimpanzee)
Lineage: Eukaryota; Metazoa; Chordata; Mammalia; Primates; Hominidae
Source: RNAcentral
GCCAGGAGCCACCACAGCCCUGUCUGUGACUCUCAGCUCCCGAGGCUGGGCUCUUCCCCAGGGAAGCUGCAUGACCAUGGCCACGUACAGGAGGUAGGAGACAGAGGCCUCCACGGUGGACGAUCGUGGCGUGAAGUCCACGUUGACCACGUUGUCGGUGCUGGGGGAGCGGAUGAAGGCCAGGGACCCGCGGCGCUCUCCCUGUGGUCAGGAAGCAGCCCGGAGACCCUAAAACUCCAUUGGCCUCAUGUCCAGAACUGAAUCAGCCAGUGCCGGAGCCUGCUGCAGCCCCGACCCGGCAGAGCAAGCGGCUCUGCUACCUCAGCCACGUAGCUGAUGGCAUCCUUCAGGUUCAGCUCGUGGAAGACAUUCAGGAUCCGGUCUCGAGACUUCUGGGCCGACCGUCUCAUGAGGACCCUGCUGAGGAACUUCCUG